Mesocricetus auratus (golden hamster) is the source of this 1348-nucleotide long non-coding RNA. RefSeq lists it as uncharacterized. The record is from RefSeq and is a predicted model, not a curated record. The transcript is spliced from 2 exons. Lineage: Eukaryota; Metazoa; Chordata; Mammalia; Rodentia; Cricetidae.
AGGACGAGGGUGGAGGCAGAUGGACAGUUGCUGGGAGUAAGCACCAAGCUGUGUCCCUGAGGUAGGGCCUGUGUCUGGACGUCUCACCUGCGCGUCUCAUCUACGCCACCUGGAAGUGUUUGUGAAACCAGCUUCGCGUCCUCUCCACAAGCCUCUGCGCUCUGGGACUUGGUUGACACCGAAGAUCCACCAGUAGCCUUUAAGGAGAGGCCUCUGCUGCUCACAGUCUUGGCCAGAGAAGCUCCUGUUUGCAGUGGGCAGUCCUGAGAGAUGCAGGACUAAUCAAAACGCUGAGAAAAAGAGACUUGUGUGCUCAGCCCUGACUCACUCAGCCCCACUCACCGCCCAAACUCAGGGAACAUGGCAGAAGAGGAAGUGGAAAGAAUGUAAUAAAGACAAAGGAUGGGGAGGAGUGCUGUAAAACACUGUCUUCUGGAUGUUAUGGGUGUGGGAUAAUUUCAGAGAUCCUGGACUCACAGCAGCUAUGGUUACCUGAACAAGACCUACACAAGUGCUAGCUGGCCCAAAACCCUGGCAUACCCACCCCUUACUAAAGAGCUGUUGGUAGCAGAUCGUUGCUGAGGAAGGGGAACUGUUCUUUUUGAGGAUGUGGCCCGACUAUAUAAUCUCAAGGCCUAUACCCAUUUCCUUCAAUGAGGCUUCACCUCCUAAGGGUUCAGCAACCUUCCCAAACAGUGUCACCAGGUGGGGACCAAGUGUUCAAAUACCUACGCAUGGCAAACAUUUCACAUUCAAACUGGAGCUGCUCUCCAGGAGGCUUCACCUCCUAAGGGUUCAGCAACCUUCCCAAACAGUGUCACCAGGUGGGGACCAAGUGUUCAAAUACCUACGCAUGGCAAACAUUUCACAUUCAAACUGGAGCUGCUCUCCAGGACAGAGGCACAGUGGCUCCCCAGCACCCAGGCCCAUGGUGGACUCUGAAAGUUCCAGUGUUUCCUUGACAUCAAACUUCAAUCUUUCUUCCUCUCUUGGUCAUCAGCAUGACUACCCCUGGGUGUCCCUCUGAAGGGUCAGUGAGGACACUGAUUUCACAGUCUUUCUUUCCACGAAGACACUGCAAAUACAAUGCUCUGUGUACCCUCUCACACUUACAGAGCUGACCACACCCUGUACUGAACACAGGGCACCACACCACACUGCAGCCUGGGCCAGCUUGGGGCGAGCGCCUGGACGGCACAGUUGGAUCUCAAGAGUGAUCUAAGAGAAGAGUGGGCACCAUGGCAUAGGGACUGCAGGGUCCACACCCCACCAUCCUGGCCUCUCUGUAGAGCUUUAAGAAUGAAAUUAUUUGAAAACUGUCAUAUUAUAAAGUAUUUAAAUAACUGCA